RNAcentral lists this ribosomal RNA (440 nucleotides) under uncultured bacterium. RNAcentral describes it as "partial 16S ribosomal RNA". It matches the Rfam family "Bacterial small subunit ribosomal RNA", at positions 339 to 795 of the family's 1533-position model. The record is from RNAcentral.
CUACGGGCGGCUGCAGUGAGGAAUAUUGCACAAUGGGGGGAACCCUGAUGCAGCAACGCCGCGUGGAGGAUGACGCAUUUCGGUGUGUAAACUCCUUUUAUAUGUCAAGAAAAUGACGGUAGCAUAUGAAUAAGCACCGGCUAACUCCGUGCCAGCAGCCGCGGUAAUACGGAGGGUGCAAGCGUUACUCGGAAUCACUGGGCGUAAAGGACGCGUAGGCGGGUUGGAAAGUCAGGUGUGAAAUCCUACAGCUUAACUGUAGAACUGCACUUGAAACUUCUAAUCUAGAGUAUGGGAGGGGGAGAUGGAAUUAGUGGUGUAGGGGUAAAAUCCGUAGAUAUCACUAGGAAUACCUAAAGCGAAGGCGAUCUCCCGGAACAUUACUGACGCUAAGGCGUGAAAGCGUGGGGAGCAAACAGGAUUAGAUACCCCAAGUAGUC